This 403-nucleotide ribosomal RNA is filed under the name Verrucomicrobiota bacterium. Its description in RNAcentral is "Verrucomicrobia bacterium partial 16S ribosomal RNA". It matches the Rfam family "Bacterial small subunit ribosomal RNA", at positions 355 to 776 of the family's 1533-position model. The record is from RNAcentral. Lineage: Bacteria; Pseudomonadati; Verrucomicrobiota.
UGGGGAAUAUUGCACAAUGGGCGCAAGCCUGAUGCAGCAACGCCGCGUGAACGAUGAAGGUCUUCGGAUCGUAAAGUUCUGUUGCAGGGGAAGAUAAUGACGGUACCCUGUGAGGAAGCCCCGGCUAACUACGUGCCAGCAGCCGCGGUAAUACGUAGGAGGCUAGCGUUAUCCGGAUUUACUGGGCGUAAAGGGUGCGUAGGUGGUCUUUCAAGUCGGUGGUUAAAGGCUACGGCUCAACCGUAGUUAGCCUCCGAAACUGGAAGACUUGAGUGCAGGAGAGGAAAGUGGAAUUCCCAGUGUAGCGGUGAAAUGCGUAGAUAUUGGGAGGAACACCAGUAGCGAAGGCGGCUUUCUGGACUGCAACUGACACUGAGGCACGAAAGCGUGGGUAGCAAACAGG